GAAAGAACAACAGGGAUUGCCUCAGUAGCGGCGAGUGAAGCGGCAAAAGCUCAGAUUUGAAAUCCGGCGGCCUUCGGUCACCCGAGUUGUAAUCUGGAGAGGAUACCACGGCGAGACCCCCGGCCCAAGUCCCUUGGAACAGGGCGCCUUAGAGGGUGAGAGCCCCGUACCCGGCGGGCGGGUUUAGCCAUGUGUGGUUCCUUCGACGAGUCGAGUUGUUUGGGAAUGCAGCUCAAACUGGGUGGUAAAUUCCAUCUAAAGCUAAAUACCGGCGGGAGACCGAUAGCGCACAAGUAGAGUGAUCGAAAGAUGGAAAGCACUUUGAAAAGAGAGUUAAAAAGUACGUGAAAUUGUUGAAAGGGAAGCGCUUGCCAUCAGAAUCGGUACCGGUCGAUCAACGUUCCUUCUGGUUCGUGCACUCGUCCGGCCACCGUGCCAGCAUCGUUUCCGGCGGCGGGAGAAAGGCGAGCGGAACGUGGCUCCCCUCGGGGAGUGUUAUAGCCGCGCGCGCAAUGCCGCCUGUCGGGAGCGAGGACCGCGCUUCGUGCAAGGAUGCUGGCCUAAUGGUUGUAAGCGGCCCGUCUUGAAACACGGACCAAGGAGUCUAACAUCUACGCGAGUGUUCGGGUGGAAAACCCGCGCGCGAAAUGAAAGUAAACGGAGGUGAGAGCCCUUGUGGUGCAUCAUCGACCGAUCCUGAUGUCCUCGGAUGGAUUUGAGUAGGAGCGUAGCUGUUGGGACCCGAAAGAUGGUGAACUAUGCCUGAAUAGGGUGAAGCCAGAGGAAACUCUGGUGGAGGCUCGCAGCGGUUCUGACGUGCAAAUCGAUCGUCAAAUUUUGGGUAUAGGGGCCGAAAGACUAAUCGAACCAUCUAGUAGCUGGUUCCCUGCCGAAAUUUUCCCUCAG
Molecule: ribosomal RNA, 906 nt
Filed under: uncultured fungus
Lineage: Eukaryota; Fungi
Description: LSU rRNA
Rfam family: Eukaryotic large subunit ribosomal RNA
Source: RNAcentral